This is a long non-coding RNA of Octopus sinensis (East Asian common octopus), 266 nucleotides long. RefSeq lists it as uncharacterized. Lineage: Eukaryota; Metazoa; Mollusca; Cephalopoda; Octopoda; Octopodidae. The record is from RefSeq and is a predicted model, not a curated record. The transcript is spliced from 2 exons.
AUACUCUCUGAUGGUACACGCUAUCAAACGAAAAAAUACAAAUACUGAAUUCGAGGUUGAAGCGAUUCAUGGAGUGAGAAUAAAUAGAAAGAAGCAAAAAGAAUAUCUUAUAAAAUGGAAGAAUUAUUCAAUUGAGGAUAAUACAUGGGAACCCGUAACAAAUUUGAACUGUUCUGAACUUAUUGGAGAUUUUGAAAAUAAAAAUCAUAAUACUAAAAAACAAAAUCUUAAUUCCCGAAAUAAAUUAAAUUUAAAUACUUCUAAAA